AUUCACUUUCAUUGUAAGUGCCUCACUGUAACCUUUAAAGAAAAGAUGAGUACAGUCAAAAUUUACUUUGGUGGUAAUCAGCAUUAUACCACAAAUGAGGCCGAUUGAGCUUAACUUGUAUUGAACCCAGAACAUUCCUUUAACAAUAAGUCCAAAAAUCUGCAUUAAGAAAGUAAAAAGGAUCCAUUUUGAUUCCAUGUUCACAUAAAUGUGGUUGGUAAAAAGAUUGGACCCUUAAAUUGAACUCCCAAAUCUCAUACAGUGCAUGUGUAAUACAUCAUUCAUCGCACAAAAAUCAUUUUAACCCUAUUACCACUCCAGGGGAGAGUUAAUAUUCAAAACAGUCCCUUAAAAAUCUCAAAGAUACGUCAUAAUGGGUACUACGACGUCAUAUGCGAGCUCGACUCAUCAGUGGGUCGAUAUGAAACUUCCUCCCCGCAUCAGGUGCAGAAGCGCUGGCGCUGGAUUUCAAAACAAUCGGCCGCAUGCUGCCCUGUCAUGAGCUCCAAAACCCCAGUCAGUCUUACUCAUGUGUGCUGUCCAGUGCCAGUUCAUCUUGUGUGACUUGUGUAAUCAGUCGGUCCUGUUUCUGAUUCCACUGUUCGGUCCGGUUGGUCCUGAAUCUGAUUCCCCGACUGUCUGUCCCAGUCUAGCGCCGAGAAAAUAUUCUGCGCUGGAUGGAGUUUUUUCCCCUAAAGUGUGCUAACACGGCAACCUCCACCACCCCACCACCAACAGUUGAGUCCCAUCCUGCACAGGGGUAGGCUCCUCGCCCCUGCCUCCUGUCUCCGGGAGGAUAUGUUCCGAGUACAACUUCUUCGGACCACCAGAUGGGGCUUACGCCAAAGAGAGACAUUACAUUUUCUGUUUUAUAUUCAUCAAAUAAAUAUAAUCUUGAAUUUCACUCAAGUCUGCAAGGCUUCCUGAUAGAAGUCAUCUUCUGC
Long non-coding RNA from Myxocyprinus asiaticus (Chinese sucker), 944 nucleotides. RefSeq lists it as uncharacterized. NCBI's taxonomy places the organism in Eukaryota, Metazoa, Chordata, Actinopteri, Cypriniformes, Catostomidae. The record is from RefSeq and is a predicted model, not a curated record. The transcript is spliced from 3 exons.